GUUCUUCAUGAGUGGCUGUUUGCUUUCCCAUGUCUUCAGGGGGGUGUCUCCUCAGGGUUCUUGGUACCUCCAUGCUCUGCGGUGUCCUCUGCUGCUGAACUAGUUCUCCCAUGCUUCAUGGACCCUAUGGCCAACAUCAUGGAAACGACUUCUUGCUGAUGGUAUAUUACAACAUUUGAUCUACUGGAGAGGAUUGUGUUUUACAGUAAUAGCUCACACAUUUUCUUUUACAACAUGGCAUAAGGAGAGCGAACACUGGAUCUUGUGCAGCUGGGCAUGCAGGGAGGAGAAGCAGUUGCCUGACAUACCCUCUGCAUUAAAGAUGUCCUUGUCACAAAUGCUGCAACCUGUAUUGCUUUGCUGUAGAAAACAACCUCUGGAAGGAAAUAGGUAUUUUAGGUUUCUAGGAGCUGCCUUUGGAUUUUCU
Anser brachyrhynchus (Pink-footed goose) is the source of this 427-nucleotide long non-coding RNA. The record is from Ensembl. Lineage: Eukaryota; Metazoa; Chordata; Aves; Anseriformes; Anatidae.